Molecule: unclassified non-coding RNA, 598 nt
Filed under: Hevea brasiliensis (rubber tree)
Lineage: Eukaryota; Viridiplantae; Streptophyta; Magnoliopsida; Malpighiales; Euphorbiaceae
Source: RNAcentral
GUCCGGUCCAUUUAGAUAGUAUUGUUCACUUUGAUGAGGCAAAACUCACUGUCAUCCACUAAUUCAAUUCAUUUUUGCCGAACUUGAAGCAAAGAAUCACCUUGCUCAUGAACCAUGUGGAAUGUCACAUUAUUUAUUUCAAUUACAUAUUUUAACAUUAUAUUCCCUAUUUUUAGUUACAGAAAAUCUCUAAUUCUCAGUUUUCCUAUGUCGUGGAGAAUGGCUUUGAACCUACAUCAGUGCCCUGCUCAAUGAUCAGGCCUCAAAUUACCAGGAUGGCAGGAUCCCCUGAAGCCAAGUCGCUUAAAAAGAAACAGUGAACAUAUACAAGCCCAUAAAUUAAAGCCACAUUCGAGAUCAUCGUGGUCCCAAAUUGCAGAAUGCAAUAUAACAAAAUAAAAAAAAAAAAAAGCUCACAAACAAACGAAGACCUCAAUUGGGCCUUCCCAUGGUACCUGAGCAUCUAUGGAGAUCCAGAGUCGUCGAUUCUCCACCUAGUCCAUUUCCGAUAGCAGCAUCACUCAAAAUGCAAACCAAUAGCCUUGUAGUAAGAGUCUAAUACUGCAUCUCAACUCGGUCAUAGCUAGUUUUCCUGAGU